UGGAUCCAGACUUUGAUCAUGGCUCAGGAUGAACGCCGGCGGUGUGCCUAAUACAUGCAAGUCGUACGCACUGGCCCAACUGAUUGGUGGUGCUUGCACCGGAUUGACGAUGGAUCACCAGUGAGUGGCGGACGGGUGAGUAACACGUAGGUAACCUGCCCCGGAGCGGGGGAUAACAUUUGGAAACAGAUGCUAAUACCGCAUAACAACAAAAGCCACAUGGCUUUUGUUUGAAAGAUGGCUUUGGCUAUCACUCUGGGAUGGACCUGCGGUGCAUUAGCUAGUUGGUAAGGUAACGGCUUACCAAGGCGAUGAUGCAUAGCCGAGUUGAGAGACUGAUCGGCCACAAUGGAACUGAGACACGGUCCAUACUCCUACGGGAGGCAGCAGUAGGGAAUCUUCCACAAUGGGCGCAAGCCUGAUGGAGCAACACCGCGUGAGUGAAGAAGGGUUUCGGCUCGUAAAGCUCUGUUGUUGGAGAAGAACGUGCGUGAGAGUAACUGUUCACGCAGUGACGGUAUCCAACCAGAAAGUCACGGCUAACUACGUGCCAGCAGCCGCGGUAAUACGUAGGUGGCAAGCGUUAUCCGGAUUUAUUGGGCGUAAAGCGAGCGCAGGCGGUUGCUUAGGUCUGAUGUGAAAGCCUUCGGCUUAACCGAAGAAGUGCAUCGGAAACCGGGCGACUUGAGUGCAGAAGAGGACAAUGGAACUCCAUGUGUAGCGGUGGAAUGCGUAGAUAUAUGGAAGAACACCAGUGGCGAAGGCGGCUGUCUGGUCUGCAACUGACGCUGAGGAUCGAAAGCAUGGGUAGCGAACAGGAUUAGAUACCCUGGUAGUCCAUGCCGUAAACGAUGAGUGCUAGGUGUUGGAGGGUUUCCGCCCUUCAGUGCCGGAGCUAACGCAUUAAGCACUCCGCCUGGGGAGUACGACCGCAAGGUUGCAACUCAAAUGAAUUGACGGA
Molecule: ribosomal RNA, 961 nt
Filed under: uncultured Bacillota bacterium
Lineage: Bacteria; Bacillati; Bacillota
Description: bacterial SSU rRNA
Rfam family: Bacterial small subunit ribosomal RNA
Source: RNAcentral